UACAGAGGGUGCGAGCGUUGUCCGGAAUCACUGGGCGUAAAGGGCGCGUAGGCGGUCGUGACAAGUCACUUGUGAAAUCUCCGGGCUUAACUCGGAACGGUCAAGUGAUACUGUCGGACUAGAGUACAGAAGGGGCAACUGGAAUUCUCGGUGUAGCGGUGAAAUGCGUAGAUAUCGAGAGGAACACCUGCGGCGAAGGCGGGUUGCUGGGCUGAUACUGACGCUGAGGCGCGAAAGCCAGGGGAGCGAACGGG
RNAcentral lists this ribosomal RNA (254 nucleotides) under uncultured bacterium. RNAcentral describes it as "partial 16S ribosomal RNA". It matches the Rfam family "Bacterial small subunit ribosomal RNA", at positions 524 to 776 of the family's 1533-position model. The record is from RNAcentral.